Molecule: ribosomal RNA, 303 nt
Filed under: Thermoplasmatales archaeon
Lineage: Archaea; Methanobacteriati; Thermoplasmatota; Thermoplasmata; Thermoplasmatales
Description: partial 16S ribosomal RNA
Rfam family: Archaeal small subunit ribosomal RNA
Source: RNAcentral
UAACACCGGUUGAUCCUGCCGGAGGUCACUGCUAUCGGAGUCCGACUAAGCCAUGCGAGUCCAAGUGCUUCGGCACUGGCGGACUGCUCAGUAACACGUGGACAAUCUGCCCUCGGGAGGGGGAUAACCCCGGGAAACUGGGAAUAAACCCCCAUAGACCAUGGAUGCUGGAAGGCUUCAUGGUUGAAAUUCCGAAAGGAGCCCGAGGAUGAGUCUGCGGCCUAUCAGGUAGUAGUGAGGGUAACUGCCUCACUAGCCUACGACGGGUACGGGCCUUGAGAGAGGGAGCCCGGAGAUGGACUC